This is a long non-coding RNA of Podarcis muralis (Common wall lizard), 577 nucleotides long. RefSeq lists it as uncharacterized. The record is from RefSeq and is a predicted model, not a curated record. NCBI's taxonomy places the organism in Eukaryota, Metazoa, Chordata, Lepidosauria, Squamata, Lacertidae.
CACACUCAAGAAGCCCCCUUUGUAUUCCGCCCCAGGGGAGAGAGAAGGGGGCACCCUGGGAGCAACAGAGAGCGCCAAUUUCAUUUCAAGUCGGAGCGAGAAGCCCUAUUUCCCUCCAGCCCCUUUGCAAAACAAAGGGUGUCGCCUGCUUCUCGCGAUUUCCCAGCAAGUGCUGCAGGUAGCAGAGAAAUCCAUGCUGCUCCGUCCGCGGAGAUGGAGCAGGCCUGCCAAGAUCGCCCAGAUCUGGCGCCCCGAGAGAGAUCCCACCUGAAGGCUGGCAGGGGAAGAAGGAGGGCCAAAGCCCCCCCCCCCGGGUCCCUUUCCCCUCACCCGCUUUGUGGGCACGGGAUCCUCCCGCCACUGCAAACAGCUCCUGCCAACCCAGCAGUUUGAAAGCAUACCAGCCCAAGUAGGUAAGAUAAGUUUCAGGGUGGAAAGAUGUAACAGCAUUCUGGAAAAGAUGAGCAACAAGUAAGAAGAAAGUCUGGCAAGAGUUUGAGUCAUCUGAACAAACAAGUGCCAAGCCAAAAUUUCUUGAAUAUGGAAAAUUCUAGAGAAAUAAACAUUUACAAAAGCA